GAUGAAGAACGUAGUGAAAUGCGAUAAGUAGUGUGAAUUGCAGAAUUCAGUGAAUCAUCGAAUCUUUGAACGCACAUUGCGCCCCUUGGUAUCCCGAGGGGCAUGCCUGUUCGAGCGUCAUUUCACCACUCAAGCCUGGCUGGGUGUUGGGCGACGUCCCCUUUGGGGACGCGCCUCGAAACGCUCGGCGGCGUGGCACCGGCUUUAAGCGUAGCAGAAUCUUUCGCUUUGGAAGUCGGGGCCCCGUCUGCCGGAAGACCUACUCGCAAGGUUGACCUCGGAUCAGGCAGGGAUACCCGCUGAACUUAAGCAUAUCAAUAAGCGGAGGA
This 329-nucleotide unclassified non-coding RNA is filed under the name soil metagenome. Its description in RNAcentral is "partial contains 5.8S ribosomal RNA, internal transcribed spacer 2, and large subunit ribosomal RNA". The stretch from base 1 to 120 matches the Rfam family "5.8S ribosomal RNA", at positions 35 to 154 of the family's 154-position model. The record is from RNAcentral.